Molecule: ribosomal RNA, 468 nt
Filed under: uncultured bacterium
Lineage: Bacteria
Description: partial 16S ribosomal RNA
Rfam family: Bacterial small subunit ribosomal RNA
Source: RNAcentral
GAUGAACGCUGGCGGCGUGCUUAAUACAUGCAAGUCGAACGGAAAGGCCCUGCUCUUGCUGGGUGCUCGAGUGGCGCACGGGGGUGUAACACGCGUGUAACCUGUCCCUGACUUUGGGAUAACUCUACGAAACUGGGGCUAUUAUCGGAUAUGAGCUCCUGCAGCACGGUGGGGGUUGGAAAGUUUCGGCUGUUUGGGAUGGACUCGCGGCUUAUCAGCUUGUUGGUGGGGUAGUGGCUUACCAAGGCUUUGACGGGUAGCCCGCCUGAGAGGGUGGCCGGGCACAUUGGGACUGAGGGACGGACCAGACUCCAACGUGACGCAACAGUGGAGAGUAUUGCGCAGCGAGCGGGAGCCAGAUACGGAGGCGCCCCGUGCGGGAUGACGGCCUUCGAGUUGUGAACAGAUUUCGACUGAACCGAGGCCUGAGUGACGGUAAUGGGUAAGAAAGCACCGGCUAACUACGUG